RNAcentral lists this ribosomal RNA (492 nucleotides) under uncultured bacterium. Its description in RNAcentral is "bacterial SSU rRNA". It matches the Rfam family "Bacterial small subunit ribosomal RNA", at positions 1 to 509 of the family's 1533-position model. The record is from RNAcentral.
CAACAGCUAGAGUUUGAUCCUGGCUCAGAGUGAACGCUGGCGGCGUGCCUAAUACAUGCAAGUCGAACGGACAAGUAGUAGCUUGCUACUAUGCGUUAGUGGCGCACGGGUGAGUAAUAUAUAGCUAAUCUGCCCUACACUGGGGGACAACAGUUGGAAACGACUGCUAAUACCCCAUACUCCUUCUUAGCACAAGCUAAGUCGGGAAAGUUUUUCGGUGUAGGAUGAGGCUAUAUCGUAUCAGCUAGUUGGUGAGGUAAUGGCUCACCAAGGCUAUGACGCGUAACUGGUCUGAGAGGAUGAUCAGUCACACUGGAACUGAGACACGGUCCAGACUCCUACGGGAGGCAGCAGUAGGGAAUAUUGCUCAAUGGGGGAAACCCUGAAGCAGCAACGCCGCGUGGAGGAUGACACUUUUCGGAGCGUAAACUCCUUUUGUUGGGGAAGAAUUCUGACGGUACCCAACGAAUAAGCACCGGCUAACUCCGUGCC